UAAAAUAAGGCGCUGAUAUUUUGCAUUAAUUCAUGAGACUUUCGAGUUUAUUUAAGCGACAGCAAUUGUUAAAGGAAUCAUAAUCAUGAAAACCCAAUUCCCAUGCUUAUUUUGCAUCUACCACACAAAUUUUGAAUGAUUGCAACAGUUGUACCUUUCGUUGCUACAUAUAACUUCGUAAACAUAAUGAUGCUGGUAGAUUUUACAUAACGAUGUUCGUUAAUGUUUUAAUGUUAUGAUAUGCUUGUUGUGAUUUGCGCCAUAGCCCAUAUAAACGGCUUUGAGCAAAUUUCAUAAUAAAUUGAAUUGUUCCUAAAACUCGGUUU
Molecule: non-coding RNA, 326 nt
Organism: Schizosaccharomyces pombe (fission yeast)
Lineage: Eukaryota; Fungi; Ascomycota; Schizosaccharomycetes; Schizosaccharomycetales; Schizosaccharomycetaceae
Source: the annotation of a GenBank genome assembly